GACGAACGCUGGCGGCGUGCUUAACACAUGCAAGUCGAACGGUAAGGCCCUUCGGGGUACACGAGUGGCGAACGGGUGAGUAACACGUGGGUGAUCUGCCCUGCACUUCGGGAUAAGCCUGGGAAACUGGGUCUAAUACCGGAUCGGACCACUGACUGCAUGGGUGGUGGGGGAAAGAUUUUGCGGGGUGGGAUGGGCCCGCGGCCUAUCAGCGUGUUGGUGGGGUGAUGGCCUACCAAGGCGAAGACGGGUAGCCGGCCUGAGAGGGUGACCGGCCACACUGGGACUGAGAUACGGCCCAGACUCCUACGGGAGGCAGCAGUGGGGAAUAUUGCACAAUGGGCGCAAGCCUGAUGCAGCGACGCCGCGUGAGGGAUGACGGCCUUCGGGUUGUAAACCUCUUUCAGCACCGACGAAGCGCAAGUGACGGUAGGUGCAGAAGAAGGACCGGCCAACUACGUGCCAGCCGCCGCAGUAA
This 478-nucleotide ribosomal RNA is filed under the name uncultured bacterium. Its description in RNAcentral is "partial 16S ribosomal RNA". It matches the Rfam family "Bacterial small subunit ribosomal RNA", at positions 28 to 523 of the family's 1533-position model. The record is from RNAcentral.